UAAGUAAACUGGAUGAUUGCCCCCUCACCUUUUAUACAAUAAAUUAUCUAGUUGAUUAUACUAUAAAACCAUUAUUAUAAAAGGUGAGGGGGAGGAAAGUCCGAACACCCUUCAUUGAAAAAUGAAGAAGUGGAUAGUCGUUAACGACGACCGGGUAAAUAGUUUUUAAGAGCGCAAUUGCCUUUUAAAGGUUAUCUGGCCUAGGGAUAGUGUCACAGAGACAAAACUGCCGAUGGCCCCGCAAUGGCGGGGUACAGGCGAUGGUGAAAAGAGUGGUGUAAGAGACCACAGAUUGGUUGGGUGACUAACCAGUGUGAUAAACCCUAUCCGGUGCAAGAUCAAGUAGGUCCCGCUUUGCGGGAUGGGUUGAUCGCUCGAGCCUAGUAGCAAUGCUGGGCCUAGAUAGAUAAUCAUCGUCCCCACACCUUUUUAUUGAAUAAAAAAAUAAAAUAAUUUCAUCAAAAAGGUGUGGGGAUACAAAAUUCGGCUUAUAGGUUUACUUGGGUA
This 507-nucleotide RNase P RNA is filed under the name bacterium. RNAcentral describes it as "RNase P RNA component class A". It matches the Rfam family "Bacterial RNase P class A". From Rfam's summary of the family: Ribonuclease P (RNase P) is a ubiquitous endoribonuclease, found in archaea, bacteria and eukarya as well as chloroplasts and mitochondria. The record is from RNAcentral.